Myotis davidii is the source of this 481-nucleotide long non-coding RNA. RefSeq lists it as uncharacterized. The transcript has 2 exons. The record is from RefSeq and is a predicted model, not a curated record. NCBI's taxonomy places the organism in Eukaryota, Metazoa, Chordata, Mammalia, Chiroptera, Vespertilionidae.
UACGAGCGUGGUCUCUGCUCCGCGGGUUCGCUGUUCCGUUGCUGCCUGCGGCCGCGAUCCCCUCUGCAGCCUCUGGUGCCUUGCUCUCUAAGCUCCCAGGCCGUUCUCCUAGACCCAGUAUUGGUUUCUGGUUUCCGAAGGAAUGUUCGGGCUUGGCAGCUCCAUAGCCUUCUGCUAAGUCUCCUGUAGCUCCCAUCAAAAUACAAAUUCUACAUCAUCGCACCGAAGCGACUUUCGCCGUGCUUCCCACCCUCUAAACUAAUUGCAUAGCUAACCUAGUGCGGGGACCCAUCCAACAGAAGUAAAAUACCAGAACCCUUCGCGCCAAUAAAGCACUGGGUGCAGAGUCUGACACAUGGUAGAGUCUAAUGAACUAUUGUCCAGUCCACUUUCCUUCAGUAAAUUUGUCAAUAUGUCUCCCCUCCAGGUUUCACGUAGUUUCCUCACCUACAAAGCGAAGAGGUGUCAUUUUUGUAAAAAA